CUACGGGUUGCUGCAGUGGGGAAUAUUGCACAAUGGGGGAAACCCUGAUGUAGCCAUGCCGCGUGUGUGAAGAAGGCCUUCGGGUUGUAAAGCACUUUCAGUAGGGAGGAAGGUAGUGUAGUUAACACCUGCAUUAUUUGACGUUACCUACAGAAGAAGCACCGGCUAACUCCGUGCCAGCAGCCGCGGUAAUACGGAGGGUGCGAGCGUUAAUCGGAAUUACUGGGCGUAAAGCGCAUGCAGGCGGCCUGUUAAGUCAGAUGUGAAAGCCCGGGGCUUAACCUCGGAAUUGCAUUUGAAACUGGCAGGCUAGAGUCUUGUAGAGGGGGGUAGAAUUUCAGGUGUAGCGGUGAAAUGCGUAGAGAUCUGAAGGAAUACCAGUGGCGAAGGCGGCCCCCUGGACAAAGACUGACGCUCAGAUGCGAAAGCGUGGGGAGCAAACAGGAUUAGAUACCCGCGUAGUC
Molecule: ribosomal RNA, 464 nt
Filed under: uncultured bacterium
Lineage: Bacteria
Description: partial 16S ribosomal RNA
Rfam family: Bacterial small subunit ribosomal RNA
Source: RNAcentral